Molecule: ribosomal RNA, 407 nt
Filed under: Bacillus aerius
Lineage: Bacteria; Bacillati; Bacillota; Bacilli; Caryophanales; Bacillaceae
Description: partial 16S ribosomal RNA
Source: RNAcentral
GAAGCCCCCGUCUCACUGUCCACCACGUACCAACAGCAGUCGAGCACAGCACUCUACAACCCAAUUCAGGGCGUUGCUCGCGUUGGGAACUAGAAUCAACGGUCGUAAGUCAACCCGUGAGAUUCCACUGACGGCCACUGUUUGGCCUCCUUCCACCCCUACUGCAGUUUAGUAGUACGGGGAAUACUGGACCCGAUGUGUGCACGAUGUUACCCGUCUUGUUUCCCGUCGCUUCGGCGCUCCGAUUCGGUUAGGGUGUUUAGACAAGAGUCAAGCCUAGCGUCAGACGUUGAGCUGACGCACUUCGACCUUAGCGAUCAUUAGCGCCUAGUCGUACGGCGCCACUUAUGCAAGGGCCCGGAACAUGUGUGGCGGGCAGUGUGGUGCUCUCAAACAUUGUGGGCUUC